Molecule: transfer RNA, 78 nt
Filed under: Chloracidobacterium thermophilum B
Lineage: Bacteria; Pseudomonadati; Acidobacteriota; Blastocatellia; Chloracidobacteriales; Chloracidobacteriaceae
Description: Candidatus Chloracidobacterium thermophilum B tRNA
Rfam family: tRNA
About the family: Transfer RNA (tRNA) molecules are approximately 80 nucleotides in length. Their secondary structure includes four short double-helical elements and three loops (D, anti-codon, and T loops).
Source: Rfam by way of RNAcentral
GCGGCAUGAAUACUGUUCAACGCCCCCGUGGGCGGACUCAUAAUCCGUUGGUUGUAGGUUCGAAUCCUACAAGUCCCA